AUUGUUCUGCCUGGCUCUGACAUGGACUUUUCAUCUCUCUCCUCUCUCCCCACCUAGCCCCGUGCAUUCCGAUUCCACAGCCCCCCCAAAAUCGGAGGCUCGCGGAGAAUAAAGGAGCGUGGGGUGGGCGCGGAAAGAAAUGGGAAGGGGCGCGGGGCGGAGAGCGAAGUGGAAAGGAGGUGCUCCGAAAGCUCUUUAUUUUCCAUGUGUGAGCCUGUGCCUGUGGUUUAUCUCUGGAGGAUGUGCCUGAGGGAGGAGACAUAUACUGCCUGGACUGCCUGGCUGAUGUGAGCUAGUUUGUCUGGUUGAGUUGGAUGUUUAAAUAGAAGGCAGAACAACAACAGGGUCUUGCUCUGUUGCCCAGGCUGGAGUGCACUUGCAGUAGCAUAAUCACAAUUCACUGCAGCCUCAACCUCCCAGGCUCAAUCAUUCUUCCUGCCUCAGCCCCCAAAGUAGCUGGGACUACAGGCAUGCACCACCAUGGCUGGCUAAGUUUUAAAACUUUUUUGUAGAGACAUGGUCUCUCUGUGUUGCCCAGGCUGGUCUAGGACUCCUGGGCUCAAGCAAUCCUCCCACCUCAGCCUCCCAAAGUGCUGAGAUUACAGGUGCAAACUAUCUCACCCAGCCUUUAAUCUUUUUAUUAGUGAGAUAUCUGACCCAACGGCUAGGAUCUGAUGGUCUUUUUAGUAUGGCCUCAAAUCAC
RNAcentral lists this long non-coding RNA (703 nucleotides) under Homo sapiens (human). RNAcentral describes it as "non-protein coding lnc-TBXAS1-3:1". The record is from RNAcentral. Lineage: Eukaryota; Metazoa; Chordata; Mammalia; Primates; Hominidae.